RNAcentral lists this ribosomal RNA (200 nucleotides) under uncultured Glomus. Its description in RNAcentral is "partial small subunit ribosomal RNA". It matches the Rfam family "Eukaryotic small subunit ribosomal RNA", at positions 591 to 796 of the family's 1831-position model. Lineage: Eukaryota; Fungi; Glomeromycota; Glomeromycetes; Glomerales; Glomeraceae. The record is from RNAcentral.
CCAAUAGCGUAUAUUAAAGUUGUUGCAGUUAAAAAGCUCGUAGUUGAAUUUCGGGAUCAAUUUGCUGGUCGUGCCUUCGGUACGCACUGGUAUUAUUGGUUUCUCCUUUCUGAUGAAUCGCGAUGUCAUUAAUUUGGUGUCGUGGGGAAUCAGGACUGUUACUUUGAAAAAAUUAGAGUGUUUAAAGCAGGCUCACGCUU